RNAcentral lists this ribosomal RNA (308 nucleotides) under Zonitis breveapicalis. RNAcentral's name for it is "partial large subunit ribosomal RNA". The stretch from base 197 to 308 matches the Rfam family "Bacterial large subunit ribosomal RNA", at positions 2473 to 2585 of the family's 2925-position model. Lineage: Eukaryota; Metazoa; Arthropoda; Insecta; Coleoptera; Meloidae. The record is from RNAcentral.
UAAAUUUAAUAGAAAGACGAGAAGACCCUAUAGAGUUUAAUAAAUUUAUAUUUUUAUAGUUUAGGAUUUUAUUAUAUAAAAAUAUAUAUUUAUUUUGUUGGGGUCAUACUAGAAUUUAAUAAACUUCUUUUUUUAAAUCAUUGAUUUAUGAAUAAAUGAUCCUAAUUUUUAGAUUAAAAGAAUAAAUUACCUUAGGGAUAACAGCGUAAUUUUUUUGGAGAGUUCAUAUCGAUAAAAGAGAUUGCGACCUCGAUGUUGGAUUAAAGUUAAAUCUUGGUGUAGAAGCUAAGAUUUUAAGUCUGUUCGAC